GACGAACGCUGGCGGCGUGCUUAACACAUGCAAGUCGAACGGAAAGGCCUGCUUUCCCUUGUGGAUUUCGGGUACUCGAGUGGCGAACGGGUGAGUAACACGUGAGUGAUCUGCCCCCAACUUGGGUAUAAGCCGGGGAAACUGCUUCUAAUGCCCGAUAGGACUGCAGGGUGGUUCCGGAGGUGGAAAAGGAUUUGCUAGUGGUUGGGGAUUAGCGGGCGGCCGAUCAGCUUGUUGGUGGGGUAAUGGUCUACCAAGGCGGCGACGGGUAGCCGGCCUGGGAGGGCGGACGUCCGAGUGGGGACUGCCACACGGCCCCGACGCCUAGGCGCGGAAGCCGUGGGGAGUCAGGAGCGAGGAGCGGAGCCCUGAUGCCGCAACGCUGAGUGGGCGAUGCCGGCUUUGGGAUUGUAGACUCCUGUCGGCCGAGAGGAAGCCACAUGGUUGGAGGGGUAGUGACGGUAGUGGCAGAAGAAGCACCGGCUAACUACGUG
RNAcentral lists this ribosomal RNA (494 nucleotides) under uncultured bacterium. Its description in RNAcentral is "partial 16S ribosomal RNA". It matches the Rfam family "Bacterial small subunit ribosomal RNA", at positions 28 to 507 of the family's 1533-position model. The record is from RNAcentral.